AACGAGCGCUGGCAGCAGGCCUAACACAUGCAAGUCGAACGCACCGCAAGGUGAGUGGCGCACGGGUGAGUAACACGUGGGAAUGUACCCUUUGGUUCGGAAUAACGUUUGGAAACGAACGCUAAUACCGGAUGAGCCCUGUGGGGGAAAGAUUUAUCGCCAAAGGAGCAGCCCGCGUCUGAUUAGCUAGUUGGUGGGGUAAAGGCCUACCAAGGCGACGAUCAGUAGCUGGUCUGAGAGGAUGAUCAGCCACACUGGGACUGAGACACGGCCCAGACUCCUACGGGAGGCCAGCAGUGGGGAAUAUUGGACAAUGGGCGGAAGCCUGAUCCAGCCAUGCCGCGUGAGUGAUGAAGGCCUC
RNAcentral lists this ribosomal RNA (361 nucleotides) under uncultured bacterium. RNAcentral's name for it is "bacterial SSU rRNA". It matches the Rfam family "Bacterial small subunit ribosomal RNA", at positions 29 to 418 of the family's 1533-position model. The record is from RNAcentral.